CAUUCGAGUGGCGGACGGGUGGGUAACGCGUGGGUAACCUGCCUUACACAGGGGGAUAACACCUGGAAACAGGUGCUAAUACCGCAUAAGCGCACAGGGCCGCAUGGCCCGGUGUGAAAAACUCCGGUGGUGUAAGAUGGACCCGCGUCUGAUUAGCUUGUUGGCGGGGUAGGGGCCCACCAAGGCGACGAUCAGUAGCCGGCCUGAGAGGGUGGACGGCCACAUUGGGACUGAGACACGGCCCAAACUCCUACGGAAGGCAGCAG
RNAcentral lists this ribosomal RNA (266 nucleotides) under uncultured bacterium. RNAcentral's name for it is "partial 16S ribosomal RNA". It matches the Rfam family "Bacterial small subunit ribosomal RNA", at positions 88 to 354 of the family's 1533-position model. The record is from RNAcentral.